GAUGAACGCUGGCGGCGUGCUUAACACAUGCAAGUCGAACGAAGCAUUUAGAACGGAUUACUUCGGUUUGAAGUUCUUUAUGACUGAGUGGCGGACGGGUGAGUAACGCGUGGGUAACCUGCCCUGUACUGGGGGAUAGCAGCUGGAAACGGCUGGUAAUACCGCAUAAGCGCACAAUGUUGCAUGACAUGGUGUGAAAAACUCCGGUGGUAUAAGAUGGACCCGCGUCUGAUUAGCUAGUUGGUGAGAUAACAGCCCACCAAGGCGACGAUCAGUAGCCGACCUGAGAAGGUGACCGGCAACAUUGGGACUGAGAAACGGCCCAUGCUCCUACGGGAGGCAGCAGUGGGGAAUAUUGCACAAUGGAGGAAACUCUGAUGCAGCGACGCCGCGUGAGUGAAGAAGUAAUUCGUUAUGUAAAGCUCUAUCAGCAGGGAAGAUAGUGACGGUACCUGACUAAGAAGCUCCGGCUAAAUACGUGCCAGCCGCCGCGGUAA
This 497-nucleotide ribosomal RNA is filed under the name uncultured bacterium. RNAcentral's name for it is "partial 16S ribosomal RNA". It matches the Rfam family "Bacterial small subunit ribosomal RNA", at positions 28 to 523 of the family's 1533-position model. The record is from RNAcentral.